GACGAACGCUGGCGGCGUGCCUAAUACAUGCCAGUAGAACGCUGAAGGAGGAGCUUGCUUCUCUGGAUGAGUUGCGAACGGGUGAGUAACGCGUAGGUAACCUGCCUGGUAGCGGGGGAUAACUAUUGGAAACGAUAGCUAAUACCGCAUAAGAGUAGAUGUUGCAUGACAUUUACUUAAAAGGUGCAAUUGCAUCACUACCAGAUGGACCUGCGUUGUAUUAGCUAGUUGGUGAGGUAACGGCUCACCAAGGCAACGAUACAUAGCCGACCUGAGAGGGUGAUCGGCCACACUGGGACUGAGACACGGCCCAGACUCCUACGGGAGGCAGCAGUAGGGAAUCUUCGGCAAUGGACGGAAGUCUGACCGAGCAACGCCGCGUGAGUGAAGAAGGUUUUCGGAUCGUAAAGCUCUGUUGUAAGAGAAGAACGAGUGUGAGAGUGGAAAGUUCACACUGUGACGGUAUCUUACCAGAAAGGGACGGCUAACUACGUG
This 495-nucleotide ribosomal RNA is filed under the name uncultured bacterium. RNAcentral's name for it is "partial 16S ribosomal RNA". It matches the Rfam family "Bacterial small subunit ribosomal RNA", at positions 28 to 507 of the family's 1533-position model. The record is from RNAcentral.